Molecule: ribosomal RNA, 468 nt
Filed under: uncultured bacterium
Lineage: Bacteria
Description: partial 16S ribosomal RNA
Rfam family: Bacterial small subunit ribosomal RNA
Source: RNAcentral
GACGAACGCUGGCGGCGUGCUUAACACAUGCAAGUCGAACGGAAAGGCCCUGCUUUUGUGGGGUGCUCGAGUGGCGAACGGGUGAGUAACACGUGAGUAACCUGCCCUUGACUUUGGGGUAACUUCAGGAAACUGGGGCUAAUACCGGAUAGGAGCUCCUGCUGCAUGGUGGGGGGUGGAAAUUUUCGGCGGUUGGGGAUGGACUCGCGGCUUAUCAGCUUGUUGGUGGGGUAGUGGCUUACCAAGGCUUUGACGGGUAGCCGGCCUGAGAGGGUGACCGGCCACAUUGGGACUGAGAUACGGCCCAGACUCCUACGGGAGGCAGCAGUGGGGAAUAUUGCACAAUGGGCGGAAGCCUGAUGCAGCAACGCCGCGUGCGGGAUGACGGCCUUCGGGUUGUAAACCGCUUUCGCCUGUGACGAAGCGUGAGUGACGGUAAUGGGUAAAGAAGCACCGGCUAACUACGUG